RNAcentral lists this ribosomal RNA (253 nucleotides) under uncultured bacterium. RNAcentral's name for it is "partial 16S ribosomal RNA". It matches the Rfam family "Bacterial small subunit ribosomal RNA", at positions 524 to 776 of the family's 1533-position model. The record is from RNAcentral.
UACGAAGGGGGCUAGCGUUGUUCGGAAUUACUGGGCGUAAAGCGCACGUAGGCGGAAUGUUAAGUCAGGGGUGAAAUCCCGGGGCUCAACCCCGGAACUGCCUUUGAUACUGCAAAUCUCGAGUCCGGAAGAGGUGAGUGGAAUUCCUAGUGUAGAGGUGAAAUUCGUAGAUAUUAGGAAGAACACCAGUGGCGAAGGCGGCUCACUGGUCCGGUACUGACGCUGAGGUGCGAAAGCGUGGGGAGCAAACAGG